Molecule: transfer RNA, 72 nt
Filed under: Chloroflexota bacterium
Lineage: Bacteria; Bacillati; Chloroflexota
Description: tRNA-Arg
Rfam family: tRNA
About the family: Transfer RNA (tRNA) molecules are approximately 80 nucleotides in length. Their secondary structure includes four short double-helical elements and three loops (D, anti-codon, and T loops).
Source: RNAcentral
GCGCCCAUAGCUCAGUGAUAGAGCGCUUGCCUCCGGAGCAAGAAGCCGCAGGUUCGAGUCCUGCCGGGCAUG